UUUUUAUACGACCGCAAAAAAAUUUUUGUGGUCGUAUAUUGGUAUGACGUUGGCGUCGUCGUCGUCCGGCGUCGUCGUCGUCGUCGUUGUCGUCGUCGUCGUCCGAAGACACUUGGUUUUCGCACUCUAACUUUAGUUUAAGUGAAUGGAUCUUUAUGAAAUUUUACCACAAGGUUCAAUACCACAAAAGGAAGGUUGGGAUUGAUUUUGGGGGUUAUGGUAAUAACAGUAAAGGAAUUAGGGGCCAAAAGGGGGCCAAAAAUAAGCAUUUUUGUAACUUCCAGACAUAACUUGUGUGUUAGUGUAUGGAUCUCUCUGACAUUGUACCACAAGGUUCCAUAUCACUAAAGGAAUGCUGGGAUUGAUUUUGGGGGUAAUUGCCUCCAAAUUUUAGUAAUUAGGGGCCAAAAAAGGGGCAAAAAACAAGCAUUUUUCUAGUUUCAUGACAAUAACUUGUGUGUAAGUGUAUGGAUCUUUCUGAAAUUGUACUACAAGGUUCCAUAUCACAAAGGGAAAGCUGGGUUUGAGUUUGGGGGUAAUUGCCCUAAACGUUUAGGAAUUUGGGGCCAAAAAGGGGCCAAAAAACACAUUUUUUUCUAGUUUCCAGACAAUAACUUGUGUUCAAGUGUAUGGAUCUCUCUGAAAUUGUACUGCAAGGUACCAUACCACAAAGGGAAGACUGGGAUUGAGUUUGGGGGUGAUGAAUCAUAAUGGGGGUUCAAAAAAUUUUGGGGGGGGGAUUUAUUUUUUUUUCCUUUUUUUCUUUUUUUCCUUUUUUGUUUCUUUUAAAAUUUUCCAUUUUAAGUUGGUUAUUUCUGAUUUAUAUUUAAAAGCAAAUAAUAAUGAUAUGGUAGGAGAUACACACCAAACAGGAUGUGUAAAUUAUUAUAUAAUAAGUAUUGUGCAAUAGCAAGAAAUUUUCAAUUGCACAGUAUUGCACAAUAGCAAGAAAUCUUCAAUUGCACAGUAUUGCACAAUAGCAAGAAAUCUUCAAUUUCACAGUAUUGCGCAAUAGCAAGAAAUAUCCAAUAGCACAAUAUUGCACAAUAGCAAGAAAUUGUCAAUUGUACAGUAUUGCGCAAUAGCAAGAAAUAUUUAAUAGCACAGGAUUGUGCAAAAGAAGAUACUUCCUAUAAAUUGCUUAUUUCUUGACCAAUUUCAAUGGGGUUUUAUUCUUGAUUUCAUGGGGUUCUUUAAUAUGCUGAAUCUAACCGUGUAUUUAGUUUUUGGAUUUUGGGCCCCAUUUUUAAAUUGGUCCACAUUGAGGUCCAAAGGGUCCAAAAUUAAACUUUGUUUGAUUUCAUCAAAAAUUGAAUUAUUGGGGUUCUUUGAUAUGCCAAAUCUAACUGUGUAUUUAGAUUCUUAAAUUUUGGUUCCGUUUUCAAAUUGGUCUACAUUAAGGUCCAAAGGGUCCAAAAUUAAACUUAGUUUGAUUUUAACAAAAAUUGAAUUCUUAGGGUUCUUUGAUAUGCUGAAUCUAAACAUGUAUUUAGAUUUUUGAUUAUGGGCCCAGUUUUCAAGUUGGUCCAAAUCGGGGUCCAAAAUUAAACUUUGUUUGAUUUCAACAAAAAUUGAAUAUAUGGGGUUCUUUGAUAUGCUGAAUCUAACCAUGUAUUUAGAUUUUUGAUUUUUGGGCCCCGUUAUCAACUUUGUCCACAUUGAGGUCAAAAGGGUCCAAAAUUAAACUUUGUUUGAUUUCAUCAAAAAUUGAAUUCUUGGGGUUCUUUAAUAUGCUGAAUCUAACCAUGUAUUUAGAUUUUGGAUAUUGGACCAUAAUAGGUGAAUGUCCAAUUUAAAAUUUUUAAGUUCUUAGACCACAUUCAAUCUGUGUUAGAAACCUAUGCUGUGUCAAAUAUUUAAUCACAAUCCAAAUCCAAAGCUGUAUCAAGCUUGAAUGUUGUGUCCAUACUUCCCCCAACUGUUCAGGGUUCGACCUCUGCGGUCGUAUCAAGCUGCGCCCUGCGGAGCAUUUUAUUAUUUUUUA
Mytilus californianus (California mussel) is the source of this 1984-nucleotide long non-coding RNA. RefSeq lists it as uncharacterized. The transcript is spliced from 2 exons. The record is from RefSeq and is a predicted model, not a curated record. NCBI's taxonomy places the organism in Eukaryota, Metazoa, Mollusca, Bivalvia, Mytilida, Mytilidae.